GCUUUCACAUGCAAGUCGAACGAGGAUGAGUUAGCUUGCUAAUUGAUCUUAGUGGCGGACGGGUGAGUAACGCGUAAGAAUCUGCCCCUAGGAGAGGGAUACCAACUGGAAACGGUUGUUAAUACCUCAUAUGCUGAGAAGUAAAAAGGUUUCCCGCCGUCUAGGGAUGAGCUUGCGUCUGAUUAGCUAGUUGGUGGGGUAAUGGCCUACCGAGGCAAUGAUCAGUAGCUGGUCUGAGAGGACAAUCAGCCACACUGGGACUGAGACACGGCCCAGACUCCUACGGGGGGCAGCAGUGAGGAAUUUUCCGCAAUGGGCGAAAGCCUGACGGAGCAAUGCCGCGUGGAGGAAGACGGCCCGUGGGUUGUAAACUCCUUUUCUUAGAGAAGAACAACUGACGGUAUCUAAGGAAUAGGCAUUGGCUAACUCUGUGCCAGCAGCCGCGGUAAUACAGGGAAUGCAAGCGUUAUCCGGAUUCAUUGGGCGUAAAGGGUCCUGAGGUGGUCUGCUUAGUCUACUGUGAAAGCUCAGGGCUUAACCCUGACAAUGCGGUGGAAACUAGUAGGCUAGAAUACGGUAGGGGCAAGGGGAAUUCCCAGUGUAGCGGUGAAAUGCAUAGAUAUUGGGAAGAACACCAAAGGCGAAGGCACCUUGCUGGGCCGAUAUUGACACUGACAGACGAAAGCUAGGGGAGCGAAUGGGAUUAGAUACCCCAGUAGUCCUAGCCGUAAACGAUGGAUACUAAGUGUUGAACGAAUCAAACGUUCAGUGCUGCAGCUAACGCGUUAGGUAUCCCGCCUGGGGAGUAUGCUCGCAAGGGUGAAACUCAAAGAAUU
Molecule: ribosomal RNA, 836 nt
Filed under: uncultured eukaryote
Lineage: Eukaryota
Description: bacterial SSU rRNA
Rfam family: Bacterial small subunit ribosomal RNA
Source: RNAcentral